Molecule: non-coding RNA, 1341 nt
Organism: Vicugna pacos (alpaca)
Lineage: Eukaryota; Metazoa; Chordata; Mammalia; Artiodactyla; Camelidae
Source: RefSeq, a predicted model, not a curated record
GCUGCUUCUCGGUGCAUUGUAAAACGGAGGAAUGAGAGCUGCGUAGACUCAAGAGAUGGCCAUGUCUUUGCCGCAUCCUGAGGUCAAGUGCGAAGACCUGUGCUUGUCUUUCUCCUGGCCAGAGGGCCUUCCUGUGCCCAGGUGAGAGCUCACGGAGUGUUCAUGUGGCAGCACUGAGCAUCACCAAGGCGGGAACAGCAAGGGCCCAGACAUGAGGAGCCCUGGACACAGGCUGGGUUCUCCCUGUGUCACCCCCCUGACCAAGGAGGGGAUGGACGAGCAAGUGGAUGAUUGGCUGAGGGAAGGAAUGAAUCAAUGGUGGACACGGCUGAACCUCUGUCUCCUCAUCUGUAGGGUGAGGUGGGGAGCACUUCUGUGGUUUUCAAACUCUCUCCAGUCUUCAAACAAGGACUCAAAUAGAAGCACUGCCUCUCAAGCAGGUGACAGCGGGACCGUCUGAAUGAAAUCAGGGCUGGCAGGCCUGAGCUCCACUGCCGUUCGCCUCCCUCUGCCCUCUCUACUGUCACUGGCCCUGGGUCACCUCCACACAAACAGAAAGACUGGGCUCGGGCAUCCCCAUGGUCCUUCUAGCCCAAGGCUCUCUCACUGCACGAUCCCCCAUGUACGUGUACCAGCUCAUGCAGGGUCUUGGGGCUCUUUGUAAUGGAUCAGGGUCCCUUGAGGGUUUGGGGACAGAGCCAGGAAAUAGCUCUGUGACCCAGCGGGUCUCAGUGGCAGGGUUCUCUAUCAGGACCUUGGGGUGUGCGGGCUCCCCCAAGGCCCACUGCUGCGGCCCUGCUUCCUCCGCAGGGAGCCACGUGCUGACUCCAGGAUGCCCGCCCGGGCCCUCUCCCCAGGGCUGCUGACGGCCAGCUUUCCCCGCACCCCUCCUGGGUGCCAUAGCCCAGGCUGAUAAAAUCGCUGACGCAGAUUGUCUGCCCAGCUGCGGUGCUGGCGCCAGCCCAGCAGCGCAGACGGCCGCUGGCAGUGGUUCAACCCAUUAUUGGCAUCCUCACCAUUGUCCUCCUCAGAUCUUAAAGGUGUACGCCUCCCUCCUGGAUCAAAUGACAGCAUGAGCCACGAGAGGUGAGCAGACACCGGCCUGGUGAGAACCCUCAGCUGCCUGGCCUGGUGGGGUGAGGAGGGUAGACACUGCCUCUCUUGAUGGGAAAUAAUGAACCGAGAGGCCAGCAGGCCUGGAAGUUUGGGCAGAGGUUCGGAGUCUUCAUUGGGCUCCAGGGAGACCCUUGACAUCUCUGCCAGCUUUUCAUAGAAGCCGACCCACUGUAAGGCAUUUCACUUGUCCUGAGCACUGGAAAUAAAACUUUCCUGUACCUUCCA